Long non-coding RNA from Mustela lutreola (European mink), 2437 nucleotides. RefSeq lists it as uncharacterized. NCBI's taxonomy places the organism in Eukaryota, Metazoa, Chordata, Mammalia, Carnivora, Mustelidae. The record is from RefSeq and is a predicted model, not a curated record. The transcript is spliced from 3 exons.
CCUGAAAGGAAGAUAUUAACUCUUUCAAGUCACAGAUGAAAUCAUUCUUUCAUUGAACAGACAUUUUUGUGGGCACCCACUCUAAGCUAUUCACUAUUCUGAGUAGAUAAAAAUAAUAAAAGUUAGUCCCUGAGGCAAUGCAUAUGAAAUAGACAUAAGCAAAAUAAGAAAUUAUGGUAAUAUAUGCUCUUACAGUAAUAAUGAAAAAAUUCACAAAAUAUUCCCUUAACUGUUUUGGAAUGGGGCAGUCUAUUAUUUUUUUGUAGUCUAGUUCUCGCUAAAAUAUUAUUACAACAGAGAGAGGAAUCUUUUUCAAGUCAAAUAGAAAGACCAGUUUUACAAAUAUGCAUGGGCAAACUGUCAACUCGCAAACCCAGCUAAGAAAAAGAAUAUGCAUUUACAGAAGUCAGAGAAGAACAACAAAUUUAAGUUUCACGUGUCACGGUUUCAAUUACCUUGUGUCAAAGGGCGGAAGCAGAUGAUCGGGGGAAGAAUCUACGAAUCUGCGGAAGGUCAAUAGUAGCCUAGUUUGGACAUGAUGCCCGAGUCAUCCUCUCCGUUUCAUCUCCUCACAUGGUCAUUUUUCCAUCUCAGGUCAUCACAAGAAGGAGAGAGAGACAGUGAGAGAAGGAACAUAAGCAGAGGAGUGGGAAAGGGAGAAGAAGGCUCUCUGCCAAGCAGGGGGCCCAAUGUGGGGCUCAAUGCCAGGACCCUGGGAUCAUGACCUGAGCCGAAGGCAGCCGCUUAAUCAACUGAGCCAGCCAGGUGCCCCAACACAUGCUUGUCAUCCUUGUCUAUUCUUCUCAUUCUGAUAUUUUUGUGGAGUUUGGUCGUACAGUAAACUUGAACAUGUUUUUAUGUACUUACUAGCCAUUUCACUUUCCUCUUCUUUGUAAUGCCUGUUACUGUUUUGGGCUCAAUUUUCUCCUGUGUUGUCUUGUCUUUUUAAAUGGAUUUGUGUGAGUUCUUAAAUAUCCUGGGCAAUUGUAUAAACUGUUAUAUAAGCCCUUGACAGUUGCAGAAACUGCAAAUAUCAUUUCCUGGUAACCUUUUCAGACCCAAUAAUGGUGUCUUUUAAUGAAAAGAGGUUCUUAAUUUUAAAGCAGUCCAACAUAUCCAUUUUUUAUUGCUACUGCUUUUUGUGUUCUGUGUAAGAAAUAUUUGCCUAUCCCCAAAUAAUAAAGAUAUUAUCCCCUGGGUUUUCCCCUCUUCUUUUUGCUUCAUUUAUUUACUGUUCACAUUUGCCUUGAAUACACCUCAGUUUAAUUUUUGCAUAGUGCAUGAAGUAAAGAGGCAAGCUCUUUUUUAUUUUUCAUAGAUUUGCAAUUACUGCAGAGCAAUUUAUUGAAAAUCAAUUCAUUUCUCCAUGAAUUGCUGUGGUGCUUUUGCCACUUAGUUCAAUCAUUCCAUUUACCUAUCCUUGCAACAAUGCUAUAGUAUUAAUUAUUGUGGCAUUAUAACAAGUUGUGAAAUAUGAUAGUCUAAGUCCUCCAAGUUUGUUUUUAUCUAAGAUUGUCUUGGCUUUUCAAGCUUCUUUGAAUUUCUAUGUGACUCUUAGAAAUAUCUUGUCAGUUUACAUACUCACAAAUACAUGUCUUCUUGAAUUUUUGGUUGGAAUUACAUUGAAACCAGAAGUUAAUUAGGGGAGAACUGAUAUUUUUAAAAAUAUUGAAGCUGCCAAGCCAUAAAUAUGGUCAAUGUUAUUUUAUUUACUUGAUUUUUUCUUAAUAAGUUUUUGAAAUUUUUAUUGUAGAGGCAUUGCACAUUUUUUAUUAGAUUUCGUUUUAGGUAUUUGAUGAUCUUGAUGCUAUUGCAAAUGACAGUGAUUUAAAAUUUUAUUUUCCUUAGAGGGGGCUUGGCUGGCUUAGUCAGAAGAACAUGUGACUCUUGAUCUCAGAUUCGUGAAUUCAAUCCCCAUUUUGGGCACGGGGCUCACAUAAAAAAGUAAAAUAAAUCUUUCAAAAAAUAAAAAAAAAUAAAUUUUACUUUCCACUUAUUCAUUGCUAAUAUGUAGAAAAAGAUAAUUUUUUAAAAAAGAUUUUAUUUAUUUAUUUGACAGAGAGAAAGACUCAGCAAGAGAAGGAACACAAGCAGGGGGAGUGAGAGAGGGAGAAACGGUGAUCAGGGAGUCCAAUGCAGGGCUUGAUCUCAGGACCUUGGGAUCAUGACCUGAGCCAAAGGCAGACACUUAAAGACUGAGCCACCCAGGUACCCCCCCCAAAAAAAACCAAUUUUAUAUAUUAACCUUGUUAAUAACUUUGUUAUUGAUCCUGUUAAUCCUACAGUUUUGUCAACAUCAUUUAUUAUUUCCAAUAGUUUUCCUGGCUUUUAAAAAAUAUACACAAUGUCAUAAACAAAUAAAGUUUUGCUUCCUUCUCUCUGAUAUUUUUAUCCUUUAUUUUUUUUACUUGUCUUAUACCACAGGCUAAGACCUCUG